Molecule: ribosomal RNA, 234 nt
Filed under: uncultured bacterium
Lineage: Bacteria
Description: partial 16S ribosomal RNA
Rfam family: Bacterial small subunit ribosomal RNA
Source: RNAcentral
UACGUAGGGGGCUAGCGUUGUCCGGAUUUAUUGGGCGUAAAGAGCUCGUAGGCGGUUUGUUGCGUCGGCUGUGAAAUCCCGAGGCUCAACCUCGGGUCUGCAGUCGAUACGAGCAAACUAGAGUGUUGCAGGGGAGACUGGAAUUCCUGGUGUAGCGGUGAAAUGCGCAGAUAUCAGGAGGAACACCGGUGGGCGAAGGCGGGUCUCUGGGCCGAUACUGACGCUGGAGGAGCG